This 242-nucleotide ribosomal RNA is filed under the name uncultured bacterium. Its description in RNAcentral is "partial 16S ribosomal RNA". It matches the Rfam family "Bacterial small subunit ribosomal RNA", at positions 535 to 776 of the family's 1533-position model. The record is from RNAcentral.
CAAGCGUUGUUCGGAUUCAUUGGGCGUAAAGGGUGCGUAGGUGGCGGGGCAAGUCAGGUGUGAAAUCUCGGGGCUCAACCCCGAAACUGCACUUGAUACUGCCUUGCUCGAGUACUGGAGAGGAGACUGGAAUUUACGGUGUAGCAGUGAAAUGCGUAGAUAUCGUAAGGAAGACCAGUGGCGAAGGCGAGUCUCUGGACAGUUACUGACACUGAGGCACGAAGGCCAGGGGAGCAAACGGG